UGCCUUCGGGAACUCUGAGACAGGUGCUGCAUGGCUGUCGUCAGCUCGUGUUGUGAAAUGUUGGGUUAAGUCCCGCAACGAGCGCAACCCUUAUCCUUUGUUGCCAGCGGUUAGGCCGGGAACUCAAAGGAGACUGCCAGUGAUAAACUGGAGGAAGGUGGGGAUGACGUCAAGUCAUCAUGGCCCUUACGAGUAGGGCUACACACGUGCUACAAUGGCGCAUACAAAGAGAAGCGACCUCGCGAGAGCAAGCGGACCUCAUAAAGUGCGUCGUAGUCCGGAUUGGAGUCUGCAACUCGACUCCAUGAAGUCGGAAUCGCUAGUAAUCGUGGAUCAGAAUGCCACGGUGAAUACGUUCCCGGGCCUUGUACACACCGCCCGUCACACCAUGGGAGUGGGUUGCAAAAGAAGUAGGUAGCUUAACCUUCGGGAGGGCGCUUACCACUUUGUGAUUCAUGACUGGGGUGAAGUCGUAACAAGGUAACCGUAGGGGAACCUGCGGUUGGAUCACCUCCUUA
Molecule: ribosomal RNA, 518 nt
Filed under: Enterobacter hormaechei
Lineage: Bacteria; Pseudomonadati; Pseudomonadota; Gammaproteobacteria; Enterobacterales; Enterobacteriaceae
Also listed under: 2 other names
Description: bacterial SSU rRNA
Rfam family: Bacterial small subunit ribosomal RNA
Source: RNAcentral